GCCAGCCUCAGAGACACACCCUUCUAGGAGACAUCCGUCCCAAGGUGGCAGAGACACCAAGUCCUGGCCCAGACCUAAGCAACCAGAUAAGUAAAACUGUGAUUCAAGGAGGCCCUGGGAUCACCUGCGAAGAUCCUGGGAUUCAUCAGGGGUCUGAACCUUGGAUCACACCUGGCUCCGGCUAUUCCGAUGACAUCUCCAUCUCCUGGAGAUAGUUGCUGCAUGAGAACAAAGGCAGGGCCCAGUCGAGGUCUGGAGGCAUAAGCAGCAGGGAUAUGUGCACUGAGCUGAGGCACUGGGCAGGCAGAGCCAUCGCCCUUGCCCCUACCAUGAACCCCUAGAGAGAGGCUGCUAGAACUUUCAUUUCUAAGAGGCAGGAGGGUCUGGCUGCCUCUGCCUCUACUCACUCCCCCAUAGACACACAGGCCUUCUCUCCAUCCAGGGAGCACAUAGCUGCCAAGAGCAGCCCUGCCCCCACACCAGGCUCCCCAGCAGUGAGGAGCUGGGCUGGGCUGUCCUCACCCGCCCUCCUGGCCUCACCCUGGCCCUUUCCUGGCCCUGCCUGGGGAUGCCAGGACCCACAGCAGGUGCCCGGACAGGCUUGGGGCUGGAGAGGGGGCUGGGCACAGAAGGCCAGCCUCUGGCCAAGAACAGAGCUCAUAGAGAAACAAGUUCCAGAAUCCUCUUCGUCCUCC
Long non-coding RNA from Cercocebus atys (sooty mangabey), 695 nucleotides. RefSeq lists it as uncharacterized. Lineage: Eukaryota; Metazoa; Chordata; Mammalia; Primates; Cercopithecidae. The transcript has 3 exons. The record is from RefSeq and is a predicted model, not a curated record.